AUUGAACGCUGGCGGCAUGCUUUACACAUGCAAGUCGAACGGUAACAGGUUAAGCUGACGAGUGGCGAACGGGUGAGUAAUGCAUCGGAACGUGCCCGAUCGUGGGGGAUAACACUUCGUAAGAAGUGCUAAUACCGCAUACGAUCUGAGGAUGAAAGCGGGGGACCGUAAGGCCUCGCGCGAUCGGAGCGGCCGAUGUCAGAUUAGGUAGUUGGUGGGGUAAAGGCUCACCAAGCCGACGAUCUGUAGCUGGUCUGAGAGGACGACCAGCCACACUGGGACUGAGACACGGCCCAGACUCCUACGGGAGGCAGCAGUGGGGAAUUUUGGACAAUGGGUGCAAGCCUGAUCCAGCAAUGCCGCGUGCAGGAAGAAGGCCUUCGGGUUGUAAACUGCUUUUGUACGGAGCGAAAAGGCUCCCUCUAAUACAGGGGGCUCAUGACGGUACCGUAAGAAUAAGCACCGGCUAACUACGUGCCAGCCGCCGCAGUAA
Molecule: ribosomal RNA, 493 nt
Filed under: uncultured bacterium
Lineage: Bacteria
Description: partial 16S ribosomal RNA
Rfam family: Bacterial small subunit ribosomal RNA
Source: RNAcentral